GACGAACGCUGGCGGCGUGCUUAACACAUGCAAGUCGAACGGAAAGGCCCCUUUGGGGGUACUCGAGUGGCGAACGGGUGAGUAACACGUGAGUAACCUGCCCUUGACUUCGGGAUAACUUCAGGAAACUGGGGCUAAUACCGGAUAGGAAUCCUUGCUGCAUGGUGGGGGUUGGAAAGCUUCGGCGGUUUUGGAUGGACUCGCGGCUUAUCAGCUUGUUGGUGGGGUAGUGGCUUACCAAGGCUUUGACGGGUAGCCGGCCUGAGAGGGCGGCCGGCCACAUUGGGACUGAGAUACGGCCCAGACUCCGACGGGAGGCAGCAGUGGGGAAUAUUGCACAAUGGGCGGAAGCCUGAUGCAGCAACGCCGCGUGCGGGAUGACGGCCUUCGGGUUGUAAACCGCUUUCAGCAGGGGCGAAGCUUGUGGUGACGGUACCUGCAGAAGAAGCACCGGCUAACUACGUG
Molecule: ribosomal RNA, 465 nt
Filed under: uncultured bacterium
Lineage: Bacteria
Description: partial 16S ribosomal RNA
Rfam family: Bacterial small subunit ribosomal RNA
Source: RNAcentral